RNAcentral lists this ribosomal RNA (423 nucleotides) under Streptococcus anginosus. RNAcentral describes it as "bacterial SSU rRNA". It matches the Rfam family "Bacterial small subunit ribosomal RNA", at positions 28 to 433 of the family's 1533-position model. Lineage: Bacteria; Bacillati; Bacillota; Bacilli; Lactobacillales; Streptococcaceae. The record is from RNAcentral.
GACGAACGCUGGCGGCGUGCCUAAUACAUGCAAGUAGGACGCACAGCCUAUACCGUAGCUUGCUACACCAUAGGCUGUGAGUUGCGAACGGGUGAGUAACGCGUAGGUAACCUGCCUAUUAGAGGGGGAUAACUAUUGGAAACGAUAGCUAAUACCGCAUAACAGUAUGUAACACAUGUUAGAUGCUUGAAAGAUGCAAUUGCAUCGCUAGUAGAUGGACCUGCGUUGUAUUAGCUAGUAGGUAGGGUAAAGGCCUACCUAGGCAACGAUACAUAGCCGACCUGAGAGGGUGAUCGGCCACACUGGGACUGAGACACGGCCCAGACUCCUACGGGAGGCAGCAGUAGGGAAUCUUCGGCAAUGGGGGGAACCCUGACCGAGCAACGCCGCGUGAGUGAAGAAGGUUUUCGGAUCGUAAAGCUC